RNAcentral lists this transfer RNA (110 nucleotides) under Trichoderma reesei RUT C-30. RNAcentral describes it as "tRNA-Ala". It matches the Rfam family "tRNA". Rfam says of the family: Transfer RNA (tRNA) molecules are approximately 80 nucleotides in length. Their secondary structure includes four short double-helical elements and three loops (D, anti-codon, and T loops). Further hydrogen bonds mediate the characteristic L-shaped molecular structure. tRNAs have two regions of fundamental functional importance: the anti-codon, which is responsible for specific mRNA codon recognition, and the 3' end, to which the tRNAs corresponding amino acid is attached (by aminoacyl-tRNA synthetases). tRNAs cope with the degeneracy of the genetic code in two manners: having more than one tRNA (with a specific anti-codon) for a particular amino acid; and 'wobble' base-pairing, i.e. permitting non-standard base-pairing at the 3rd anti-codon position. Lineage: Eukaryota; Fungi; Ascomycota; Sordariomycetes; Hypocreales; Hypocreaceae. The record is from RNAcentral.
GGGCGGAUGGUUUAGUGGUAUAAUUUUCCCUUAGCAUGGUCUGUUCCUCUGGAAUCAGAAUAAAACCGCUUGCUUGGGAAAGGUCCGGGGUUCGAUUCCCCGUUCGUCCA